Molecule: unclassified non-coding RNA, 227 nt
Filed under: Hevea brasiliensis (rubber tree)
Lineage: Eukaryota; Viridiplantae; Streptophyta; Magnoliopsida; Malpighiales; Euphorbiaceae
Source: RNAcentral
GUUGGGAACAAUAUAUUUUUUUUUUUUUCAAUCUGUUUAUACUAAUUAAAUGGGCGGGAAAUAAAAAAUCUUAGAAAUACGUGUUGGCGCUACUGGGAUCCCAUGUCUUACUUACUCACAGAAAAUAGAAAACACAGGAUUCAAUGCAAUCCAAGAUAAGUUCCUUCUUCAAGCCAUCUUCAUCGUCUUCUUCUUCAAAAUUUGAAGAUUAGAUAAUGGGAUACAUC